Molecule: long non-coding RNA, 283 nt
Filed under: Homo sapiens (human)
Lineage: Eukaryota; Metazoa; Chordata; Mammalia; Primates; Hominidae
Description: non-protein coding lnc-IRAK1BP1-4:1
Source: RNAcentral
CCUCACCCUCCACCCCCCAACAGGCCCUGGUGUGAAUUGUUCCCCUCUCUGUGUCCAUGAGUGCUCAAUGUUCCAACUCCCAUUUAUGAGUGAGAACAUAUGGUGUUUGGUUUUCUGUUCCUGUGCUAGUUUGCUGAGGAUGAUGGCUUCCAGCUUCAUCCAUGUCCCUACAAAGAUGUGAACUCAUUCCUUUUUAUGGCCGCCUAGUAUUUCAUGGUGUAUAUGUACCACUUUUUUUAAUCCAUAUAUGUACCACAUUUCUUUAUGCAGUCUGUCAUUGAUA